UAUGUGAUCGUCUCUCGCAUAUCAAUAAGCGGAGGAAAAGAAACUAACAAGGAUUCCCCUAGUAACGGCGAGUGAAGCGGGAAGAGCUCAAAUUUGAAAUCUUAAAGGGUUUCCCUUUACGAAUUGUAGUUUAAAGAAGUGUUUUCUGUUGAGGUUUUGGUAAAAGUUCUUUGGAAUAGGACAUCAUAGAGGGUGAGAAUCCCGUAUUUGACCUUUACUUUCAACUUUGUGAUACACUUUCAAAGAGUCGGAUUGUUUGGGAAUGCAGUCCAAAAUGGGUGGUAAAUUUCAUCUAAAGCUAAAUAUUGGCGAGAGACCGAUAGCGAACAAGUACCGUGAGGGAAAGAUGAAAAGAACUUUGAAAAGAGAGUUAAACAGUACGUGAAAUUGUCAAAAGGGAAGCGUUUGACACCAGUGUUGUUUUUCUGAAAAUCAAUUAAAGAACUGUUUAUGCUAAGCUGUUUAGACUUUAUCAGCUAUCUGUUUAGUUUUGAGCUUUUCUUUAAUGCACUUUUCAGUUAACAAGUCAACAUCAAUUUCUUUUGCUGCUAAAAAAGCUUGAGGAAGGUGGCUUGAGAUUCGUCUUAAGUGUUUAUAGCCUCUUGCCUAUGCAGUCGGAGAGAUUGAGGUCUGCAGCGUAGAUCCUUCGGGGCUAAAUGCAUUUGUGCUAAGUUAUAGCAUUUUAUAGACAACUUGUUGACUAUGAUUUGUCUUGUAGCUUACUCGCUUAUGUUAUUUUACCUACGCUUAGGAUGUUGAAGAUAUGCGCGACACG
This 775-nucleotide ribosomal RNA is filed under the name uncultured Neocallimastigales. Its description in RNAcentral is "partial large subunit ribosomal RNA". It matches the Rfam family "Eukaryotic large subunit ribosomal RNA", at positions 24 to 644 of the family's 3401-position model. The record is from RNAcentral. Lineage: Eukaryota; Fungi; Neocallimastigomycota; Neocallimastigomycetes; Neocallimastigales.